Molecule: long non-coding RNA, 330 nt
Filed under: Homo sapiens (human)
Lineage: Eukaryota; Metazoa; Chordata; Mammalia; Primates; Hominidae
Description: HSALNT0398652
Source: RNAcentral
UGCAACCUCCUUCAGGCUCAAGCCAUCCCCAAGCCUCAGCCUCCCAAGUAGCUGGGACCACAGCACCACUGGGUUAGGGUCUCCCUGACUGAGCUGGUCUCGGCAAGUGGCGUACCUUCAUGGGGGCUCGAAUCCAGGUUGAAGGGUCACCGGAGCGACAGUUGGAAUGGAAAACUAGCUGGAGGACACCCAAGUACUCUUAAAGCAAUCCCUGUGGAGGAGUUAAUCUUCAAGGAUUGGAACCUAACUCGGUUUGGCAAAUGGAUGUCACACAUGUUCCCUCGUUUGGGAGACUAGCUUAUGUACAUGUAUGUGUGGGCACCUUUUCUC